CAGUUUAAGUAUUUGUUAGUUGUGUUUGUAGGCCAAGCAUUGAGCGAUUGUAAGUGACUUUAGCUGUGGACCAGGGCAGCAUUCUCGAAAAGUCUGCUGAUAUUGGAAGGCAGGGGCGUAGGCAGCCCCCUUUCCGGACAAUUGGGCAACCCCGAUGGCCGUCGUUUUUUCACCGACCGCAUUCAAUGUGCGUAGUCACCGAAGAAAAGUUGUAGUCAUAGGGCCUUUCCGCUGAACUUCUGUCUGCAGAAUACAGAAAAAUCGGUCCGCCCUGGAGGAGCCACUCACCUGUUCUUUUUCAGCUUCCCUGCUGUAUCCCUACCAAAACUCUCUUCAAAAGUACUACCAGUUUCAUUUUUGUGUGUUCCACCCCAGUAACCCCAGUUCUUGAAAUCCCCAACCAUCCCUAACCAGCUGUGCAUGCCCUGUGCCUUCACAUAACUCCGAAAACCCCAUUUUAAACCCAAGUCACCAAGCACAACGACACAUCUUCGUCAACUCAAAUCAGUUCUUGUUUCGGUGAAUGCGUCAGAAAACGCGCGGUUUUGAAACGUUUUCCGAAACAGGAACAAAGAAAAUAUUUGAGAACUGCGCAGAACGAAAAUAAUGAACCGUGUUGAAGGCAAACGCUUUGAUCGCGGUUCAAAAAAGAUAUUAAAAAAAGAGAAAGAAGAAAAAUAAAAAAAAUAACUAAAACACAUUUACUAACAAUAGAUUAAGAAAAAAAAGAGAAAAAUAUAUAUGAAAACUUGCUGGUCAUCGUUGUACGCAGUUCUGAAAAGAUGUAUGCCAAAUGAAAUAAACACAAAAAAAGAAACGCAAGUAAUGAAAAAUGUGUGGAAACGUUAUACGAAUCUUCACCACGUG
Molecule: long non-coding RNA, 867 nt
Organism: Drosophila biarmipes
Lineage: Eukaryota; Metazoa; Arthropoda; Insecta; Diptera; Drosophilidae
Exons: 2
Source: RefSeq, a predicted model, not a curated record